GUCCUUCGGGACAACAGAUAAGAUUGGAACGAUACAAAGAAAAUUAGCACGACUCCUACAGGUCGCCAGAGGCCCUUCAUCAUUUA
RNAcentral lists this small nuclear RNA (86 nucleotides) under Nicotiana attenuata. Lineage: Eukaryota; Viridiplantae; Streptophyta; Magnoliopsida; Solanales; Solanaceae. The record is from RNAcentral.